This 74-nucleotide transfer RNA is filed under the name Rubrobacter sp. RNAcentral describes it as "tRNA-Arg". It matches the Rfam family "tRNA". Rfam says of the family: Transfer RNA (tRNA) molecules are approximately 80 nucleotides in length. Their secondary structure includes four short double-helical elements and three loops (D, anti-codon, and T loops). RNAcentral also lists the same sequence under 1 other name. The record is from RNAcentral. Lineage: Bacteria; Bacillati; Actinomycetota; Rubrobacteria; Rubrobacterales; Rubrobacteraceae.
GCGCUCGUAGCUCAGUUGGAUAGAGCAUCUGACUACGAAUCAGAAGGUCGCAGGUUCGAGUCCUGCCGAGCGCG